GACGAACGCUGGCGGCGUGCUUAACACAUGCAAGUCGAACGGAAAGGCCCUGCUUUUGUGGGGUGCUCGAGUGGCGAACGGGUGAGUAACACGCGAGUAUCCUGCCCUUGACUUUGGGAUAACUCCAGGAAACUGGGGCUAAUACCGGAUAGGAGCUCUUGCUGCAUGUUGGGGGUUGGAAAGUUUCGGCGGUUGGGGAUGGACUCGCGGCUUAUCAGCUUGUUGGUGUGGUAGUGGCUUACCAAGGCUUUGACGGGUAGCCGGCCCGAGAGGGUGACCGGCGACAUUGGGACUGAGAUACGGACCAGACUCGUACGGGAGGCAGCAGUCGGGAGUAUUGCACAGUGGGCGGAAGCCUGAGACAGCAACGCCGGGUGCGGGAUGACGGCCUUCGGGUUGUAAACCGCUUUCGCCUGUGCCGAAGCGUGAGUGACGGUAAUGGGUAAAGAAGCACCGGCUAACUACGUG
RNAcentral lists this ribosomal RNA (468 nucleotides) under uncultured bacterium. RNAcentral describes it as "partial 16S ribosomal RNA". It matches the Rfam family "Bacterial small subunit ribosomal RNA", at positions 28 to 507 of the family's 1533-position model. The record is from RNAcentral.